This 45-nucleotide ribosomal RNA is filed under the name Colletotrichum orbiculare. RNAcentral's name for it is "partial 28S ribosomal RNA". Lineage: Eukaryota; Fungi; Ascomycota; Sordariomycetes; Glomerellales; Glomerellaceae. RNAcentral also lists the same sequence under 24 other names. The record is from RNAcentral.
UGACCUCGGAUCAGGUAGGAAUACCCGCUGAACUUAAGCAUAUCA